RNAcentral lists this ribosomal RNA (386 nucleotides) under uncultured Alphaproteobacteria bacterium. RNAcentral's name for it is "bacterial SSU rRNA". It matches the Rfam family "Bacterial small subunit ribosomal RNA", at positions 9 to 426 of the family's 1533-position model. Lineage: Bacteria; Pseudomonadati; Pseudomonadota; Alphaproteobacteria. The record is from RNAcentral.
GAGUUUGAUCGUGGCUCAGAACGAACGCUGGCGGCAGGCUUAACACAUGCAAGUCGAACGCCCCGCAAGGGGAGUGGCGCAAGGGUGAGAAACGCGUGGGAAUUUGCCUUUUGGUUCGGAAUAACCACAGGAAACUGUGGCUAAUACCGGAUGGUCCCUUCGGGGUAAAGAUUUAUCGCCAAAAGAUGAGCCCGCGUCAGAUUAGCUAGUUGGUGGGGUAACGGCCUACCAAGGCAACGAUCUGUAGCUGGUCUUAGAGGACGAUCAGCCACACUGGAACUGAGACACGGUCCAGACUCCUACGGGAGGCAGCAGUGGGGAAUAUUGGACAAUGGGGGCAACCCUGAUCCAGCCAUGCCGCGUGAGUGAUGAAGGCCUUCGGUUGU